UUUUCCAUCGAUUCUCCACUCCACCCCUACUGACUCGACUCGACUCGACUCCUUGAGACUCAUAGUGAGUCAGUGACUGUCGACCUCGACUGUGUCUGUCGACAUUACAUCAAUCCUCCCCAAUCGCGAGUUCCGACCACCACCACACGGUCGACACCAACCUCGCCGUCGAGAACACUACCAUCAUCCUGCAAAUUCCUAGAUUCCGGAGCCACUUAUUACUGAGAAAGUUUGGAAAUUGGAAGAUUUUGAAUCAUAUCCUGCUUGCUUACUGAUUCAAUGAAGAUUGUUGUUGGAACUUGGAUUUUCGAAUAUUUUGUAUGUUGAUUUGAUUUUUAGAUGUUGGAAGAUGUAAUAUUAUUAUUUUGAAUGUAUUGUUAAUCUAUGAACUUGGAUGUUGGACUUUGUAUUUAGAUUGGAUGUGAAUAAUGGUGAAUUUGUGCAAAA
Pyrus x bretschneideri (Chinese white pear) is the source of this 447-nucleotide long non-coding RNA. RefSeq lists it as uncharacterized. The record is from RefSeq and is a predicted model, not a curated record. Lineage: Eukaryota; Viridiplantae; Streptophyta; Magnoliopsida; Rosales; Rosaceae. The transcript is spliced from 3 exons.